Molecule: long non-coding RNA, 489 nt
Organism: Chlorocebus sabaeus (green monkey)
Lineage: Eukaryota; Metazoa; Chordata; Mammalia; Primates; Cercopithecidae
Source: RefSeq, a predicted model, not a curated record
GAGCUCAGGGACCUCUGGGUUCGCGGGGGCGGGGUGCCUCCUACUGUGCCGGCGGCUAUGGGCGAGGCAGGGCGAGGCGGGCCCGACCUGGGGCCAACUUCUCGUGUACCUGUUCCGGUUGUGGGCCCGGCACCCGUGUCCGCUCCUCUGGUGCCCUAGGUCAAGGCGUCCCCGGCACAGUCAGCUUUCCUGGCCCUGUCCCCGCUUCGCAAGAAGCGUGGGCCCAAGCAGCGGCGGCCGGGUGAAGAGCGGAGGCACCUCUUUCUUUUUGAGGACAGCAUUCCCUGCUCCCGUGGGGUGUCUUUCCAUUCCUCAAGCAACAGAGACAUGACAGCAUCUACGGUUGCCAGGCCUGGAGUCUGGAGAAGAAACUAGGACCCUGUACCACCUUUUGAGGACCCUGCGGAACAUGGAAUGCCCGAGGGGGGGAGGUGGUCUUCUGGGCCCCUACGUAGUAAAUAAUAAUAAUAGUCUCUCACGUUUGCACAA